AACUAUGUGGGGUCAGAUAUAAGCUUCUAACUUCUCAUCUGAAAGGUUCAACUCCUUUCAUAGUUU
This 66-nucleotide transfer RNA is filed under the name Hediste diadroma. RNAcentral describes it as "tRNA-Ser". Lineage: Eukaryota; Metazoa; Annelida; Polychaeta; Phyllodocida; Nereididae. The record is from RNAcentral.